CCAAUAGCGUAUAUUAAAGUUGUUGCAGUUAAAAAGCUCGUAGUUGAACUUCGGGGUCUACCCAUUGGUCAGGCUUAAUUGUCUGCACUGGUGAGAUGGAUCUCUACCUUCUGAGGAACUUUCAUGCCAUUUAUUUGGUGUGGUUGGAAAUCAGGACUGUUACUUUGAAAAAAUUAGAGUGUUUAAAGCAGACUAUCGUCUGAAUACAUUAGCAUGGAAUAAUGAAAUAGGACGGACUGAUUCUAUUUCGUUGGUUUCUAGGAUCACCGUAAUGAUUAAUAGGGAUAGUUGGGGGCAUUAGUAUUCAAUUGUCAGAGGUGAAAUUCUUGGAUUUAUUGAAGACUAACUACUGCGAAAGCAUUUGCCAAGGAUGUUUUCAUUAAUCAGGAACGAAAGUUAGGGGAUCGAAGACGAUCAGAUACCGUCGUAGUCUUAACCAUAAACUAUGCCGACUAGGGAUCGGACGAAGUUAAUUUUAUAAUGACGCGUUCGGCACCUUACG
Molecule: ribosomal RNA, 502 nt
Filed under: uncultured Glomeromycotina
Lineage: Eukaryota; Fungi; Glomeromycota
Description: partial small subunit ribosomal RNA
Rfam family: Eukaryotic small subunit ribosomal RNA
Source: RNAcentral